CCUACGGGUGGCAGCAGUGAGGAAUAUUGGUCAAUGGACGGAAGUCUGAACCAGCCAUGCCGCGUGCAGGAAGACGGCUCUAUGAGUUGUAAACUGCUUUUGUACAAGGGUAAACCUGAAUACGUGUAUUCAGCUGAAAGUACUGUACGAAUAAGGAUCGGCUAACUCCGUGCCAGCAGCCGCGGUAAUACGGAGGAUCCAAGCGUUAUCCGGAUUUAUUGGGUUUAAAGGGUGCGUAGGCGGUCCGUUAAGUCAGCGGUAAAAUUGCGGGGCUCAACCCCGUCGAGCCGUUGAAACUGGCAGACUUGAGUUGGCGAGAAGUACGCGGAAUGCGCGGUGUAGCGGUGAAAUGCAUAGAUAUCGCGCAGAACUCCGAUUGCGAAGGCAGCGUACCGGCGCCAGACUGACGCUGAGGCACGAAAGCGUGGGGAUCGAACAGGAUUAGAUACCCUUGUAGUC
This 459-nucleotide ribosomal RNA is filed under the name uncultured bacterium. RNAcentral describes it as "partial 16S ribosomal RNA". It matches the Rfam family "Bacterial small subunit ribosomal RNA", at positions 338 to 795 of the family's 1533-position model. The record is from RNAcentral.